Molecule: small RNA, 73 nt
Rfam family: bZIP non canonical Hac1/Xbp1 intron
About the family: bZIP intron RNA is a non-canonical intron that was first reported in HAC1 gene in yeast and XBP1 gene in Metazoa.
Source: Rfam
CGUCUCCCCCGACUCGACACAACAUCCUGCAGCGAUGUUGUGUGACGACCUGCAGUGUCAGUUGGCGGAGGCG